This 483-nucleotide ribosomal RNA is filed under the name uncultured bacterium. RNAcentral's name for it is "partial 16S ribosomal RNA". It matches the Rfam family "Bacterial small subunit ribosomal RNA", at positions 30 to 507 of the family's 1533-position model. The record is from RNAcentral.
AUUGAACGCUGGCGGCAGGCCUAACACAUGCAAGUCGAGCGGAUGAAGGGAGCUUGCUCCUGGAUUCAGCGGCGGACGGGUGAGUAAUGCCUAGGAAUCUGCCUGGUAGUGGGGGAUAACGUCCGGAAACGGGCGCUAAUACCGCAUACGUCCUGAGGGAGAAAGUGGGGGAUCUUCGGACCUCACGCUAUCAGAUGAGCCUAGGUCGGAUUAGCUAGUUGGUGGGGUAAAGGCCUACCAAGGCGACGAUCCGUAACUGGUCUGAGAGGAUGAUCAGUCACACGGGACCGAGGACACGCUCCAACCUCCUACGGGAGGCAGCAGUGGGGAUUUUGGGACAGGGGGCGAAAGCCUGUUCCAGCCAUGCGGCGUGUGUGAAGAAGGGCUUCGGAUGGUAAGGCACUUUAGGUGGGGAGAAGGGGAGGUAGGUUAGUACCUGGCUUUUUGGCGUUUCCCAACAGAGAAGCCACCGCUAACUUUCUU